AACAUCGCGCACCUGCGGGAACCUGCGGAGGGAUCAUUACAGAGUUGCAAAACUCCCUAAACCAUUGUGGACGUUACCUAAACCGUUGCUUCGGCGGGCGGCCCGGGUCCUUCCCGGCGCCCCUCGGCCCUCGCGGGCGCCCGCCGGAGGUAAACCAAACUAUUGCAUUGUAUGGCCUCUCUGAGUCUUCUGUACUGAAUAAGUCAAAACUUUUAACAACGGAUCUCAGAUCGGAAGAGC
Molecule: unclassified non-coding RNA, 240 nt
Filed under: soil metagenome
Description: partial contains 5.8S ribosomal RNA, internal transcribed spacer 2, and large subunit ribosomal RNA
Source: RNAcentral